GACGAACGCUGGCGGCGUGCUUAACACAUGCAAGUCGAACGGAAAGGCCCGGCCUUUGUGGGGUGCUCGAGUGGCGAACGGGUGAGUAACACGUGAGUACCCUGUCCCUGACUGUGGGAUAACUUCAGACAACUGGGGCUCAUACCGGCUAGGAGCUCCUGCUGUAUGGUGGGGGUUGGAAAGAUUCGGCGGUUGGGGAUGGACUCGCGGCUUAUCAGCUUGUUGGAGGGGUAGUGGCUUACCAAGGCCUUGACGGGUAGCCGGCCUGCGAGGGUGACCGGCCACAUUGGGACUGAGAUACGGCCCAGACUCCUACGGGAGGCAGCAGUGGGGAAUAUUGCACAAUGGGCGGAAGCCUGAUGCAGCAACGCCGCGUGCGGGAUGACGUCCUGCGGGUUGUAAACCGCUUUCGCCUGUGACGAAGCGUGAGUGACGGUAAUGGGUAAAGAAGCACCGGCUAACUACGUG
Molecule: ribosomal RNA, 468 nt
Filed under: uncultured bacterium
Lineage: Bacteria
Description: partial 16S ribosomal RNA
Rfam family: Bacterial small subunit ribosomal RNA
Source: RNAcentral